RNAcentral lists this ribosomal RNA (506 nucleotides) under uncultured bacterium. Its description in RNAcentral is "partial 16S ribosomal RNA". It matches the Rfam family "Bacterial small subunit ribosomal RNA", at positions 28 to 523 of the family's 1533-position model. The record is from RNAcentral.
GAUGAACGCUAGCUACAGGCUUAACACAUGCAAGUCGAGGGGUAACGAGAGGAAAGCUUGCUUUCCUUGUUGACGACCGGCGCACGGGUGAGUAACGCGUAUCCAACCUGCCCCCAACUAGGGAAUAACCUUGCGAAAGUAAGACUAAUACCCUAUAAUUUCCUCAGAUGUCAUCUGACGAGGAAUAAAGAUUUAUCGGUUGUGGAUGGGGAUGCGUCUGAUUAGCUUGUUGGCGGGGUAACGGCCCACCAAGGCAACGAUCAGUAGGGGUUUCGGGAGGAAAGUACCCCACAUUGGAACUGAGACACGGUCCAAACUCAUACGUGAGGCAGCAGUGAGGAAUAUUGGUCAAUGGGCGGAAGCCUGAACCAGCCAAGUAGCGUGCAGGAUGACGGCCCUAUGGGUUGUAAACUGCUUUUAUACAGGAAUAAAGUUAGCCACGUGUGGUUAUUUGUAGGUACUGUAUGAAUAAGGACCGGCUAAUUCCGUGCCAGCCGCCGCCGUAA